Juglans microcarpa x Juglans regia is the source of this 235-nucleotide long non-coding RNA. RefSeq lists it as uncharacterized. Lineage: Eukaryota; Viridiplantae; Streptophyta; Magnoliopsida; Fagales; Juglandaceae. The transcript has 2 exons. The record is from RefSeq and is a predicted model, not a curated record.
UUAGAGACUAAAGCAAAUUUACAUUAGGAAGAAUAUGGCGGAGGAACCGGUGUUGGGUUGUGCUUUUGAGUGUAAGAGAUUUUGUGCGGAGCAACCAAGGUUGGGUGGUGCAUUGUGGGCCGAAAAAAUUAACGUUCCAAAGUUCCUAAGUGGGGAGAGAGAGACGGAGAGAGAGAGAGAGAGAGAGAGAGGCUUGAGAGAGAGAGGAAAAGAAGGAAAGACGUAAGAGAAAAAG